RNAcentral lists this long non-coding RNA (1098 nucleotides) under Androctonus crassicauda. The record is from RNAcentral. Lineage: Eukaryota; Metazoa; Arthropoda; Arachnida; Scorpiones; Buthidae.
GUGCGAAGAUUGCAUAUCAUACCAAAUAAUGAAACCAACUUCUUUAAAAAUAUUAUCUCCGUAUCUGCGUUUACAUCAGGGAAAAAACUUUUCAGUAACAAUUUAUGGAAAAGAUCAGCGUCUUUAUGUGGAAUCAAGACUCUCAUAAUAUACUCAAUAGUAUACGGUCAUAUAUCAUUUUAUUGUUUAGAAAUGUUUACCAUUUCGGGUAAGUAUAUAUUUAUUUAUUUUUAUCUUUUACUCUAUUUUUCACCGAUGAAUACUAACGCUAGGUUGACACGACAUGGUACACUCGGAUCGACUUCACACGGACCGACUUCACUCGGACCGACUUCACUCGGACUAUGUGCGCGCACCCACUCGGACGCUAUUUGGACCGUUUCAUCUGAGUAGGGUAAACUCGGAUGACAACCAAACUACUCGGACCGAGUGGCAGACUCGGUCCGAGUACCGCUUCUUCCUCUUUUCUUCUGGUCCCUCGUUCCUUUUUUUCGUCUAUUCUGAUUAUUGAUACCACUGUCCAGCUCCUUUAACCGCAUAUUAACCAUAACAUCUAUCCCUUUAAGCAGGAGAUCCACCAUUUCACCUCAGAGUACACUCGGAACAUGUAAACGAACUUAACACUCGGUCCGAGAGUACUCGGACGAGUCCAUCUCUGAGUGAACUCGAUCCGAGUAAACUCUGAUCGUGUCAACCUAGUUUAGACGAUGGACAUUCUAUGUCCACUACCGCUCAUUGUUGGAAGCAUUAUUACCAGGUGAAGGAUGUGGCAUAAUGAUUCGAUUCCCACGCCUGAAAGACCCUGAUAUUAGAUUAAAAAGUAAACCUGGAUCCGCUAGUGUGGAAGCUAAAGAAGAUCGUAGAAGCAGAGCAGUCUCACACUGGCGGAAACAGCCAAUAGUAAUAUAUUUAUUGUCAUAAGGAGAUUACAAUAAAAGGGGAAUUCAUUUUUGUAUUCCCCUUUUAUUGAAUCUAUUCAUUUCUAACUAGAAUAAAAAAGUUAUAUAAAUUAUAUUAAAUUCGAUUAUAUAACGGUGUGAAGUUGGCCCCCACUUUUGAAUUUUUGAGUUUUUUCUUUUGCACUCGUUUGCACCUCGU